This is a long non-coding RNA of Toxorhynchites rutilus septentrionalis, 3251 nucleotides long. RefSeq lists it as uncharacterized. The record is from RefSeq and is a predicted model, not a curated record. The transcript is spliced from 3 exons. Lineage: Eukaryota; Metazoa; Arthropoda; Insecta; Diptera; Culicidae.
CAAACAUUGCUCAGCAAGAGUGCCAUAGGCCAUUGCUGUUGCUGUUCGUUUAGUUCGCCGCAUGCUUUCGUCUGACUCACGGUGUCGUGAAUUCGUGCCCUGUAUUUUGGGAUAAACACAGCUGGACCGCGGAGAUUUGGUUUGGUGAAUCUUCAACCGUGGACCCAAUGUGUAGGAGUUUAGGGUGUGUGUUUGCAAAGUAAAGAAGAUAUAGUGUGCUAUUAAUACACCAAGCUUUUGGCGUCUUUUUAUUUUUGUUUAUUUUCCGCGGUCGUCCUUACGUUUUCCUGGAAUCAUCGGCGCUUUCCUCAGCCCUUCAUCGUAACCGCCUCCCAUCUGUUACGCGUGUGUGCCUACCGUGUUUUUGCUACGGUAGUGUUCUGCUGCAGAAGGAUAGACAAAAAUGGAGAAUUGUAAUUGCAUCCAGAAUACAUUUCGAUAGAAACCGAAGGAGUCUGCAACGGAGCGUGUGCAGCAUGUUCGUACAGUUGAACAAUUGAUCGAAUCCUCAAUUCAACAUUACCGUCAUCUCGGGAUGAAUCCAAAAUUUUCGAAGAAUUUAAACACUAAAUUCGGUAAUGAGCUCGCCUGUGCGAUUUUCAUGAAGGUGAAGAAGUGAAACUCGAUUUUUAUGUUCAAAAUUGUGUGUGGCUAGAUGAAACCUGCCUCAAUUCCUUACCAGGUUUAGCAUUGUCUUUUCGUGUACAAAUAAAUAGUGUGUAAAGUGCGUAAAUCGCUUGGUUUCAGAGAAUGGUUCAUAAGGAUUGCUCAUUUGGGAUAAAAUGUGAACUGGAAUUAGGAUGUAAUCUUCAAUUCAACCCUCUGUACUCGUGCGCCGCACCAGUGCCAUUCACACGUAAAACGCAUCCAUCGAUUCCUUCGUACAUGAACAGUGCAUAAAAAAGUGUGCAGUAUUAAUCAAUUAAAUCUACCAGAGGAGUGUGUGUAUACAUCUAAGUGUGAAUGCAUGGUAGCGUUAUAAGGAAACAUAAAUGAACACAAGUGAAGUUUCGUGAGCCCAUAGCGCGGAGAGAAAUGGAGAAACUUUAUUAAAGUGAUUGAAACUUCUCCCCCGGAAAUCAUUUGAAAGUCGUGUCUCUGGUCUUUGUACCGAUUCUCGUGGAUCUGUGUAUACGAAAUAGCAACGGGCUCUGAGACGUUUUUCGGUGAGCGAGGAGCCGAUGUCUCGACUCUGGAUGAAAAGCCAACUAGAAUUUGGUUUAGUUUGAGAUGUGGCGAGUGCAUAAAUUAGCGAGAGCGAUACAUCUGCUACUGCGAAGAGAAAUAUGAUGGAGGAAGCAAAUAAUGUGGCGAAAUGUUUCCGUGGGUAGAUAGGGUACUAAGUGCAAUCAGAAAAGAAGCAGUUAAAAUAAUUAUUUACAUCAUCAGUGUCAAUCAGCUGUAAGUGGCGAAGACGAAGUCUUUCAUAUUCAUCGUAAUGGAUUAAGCGUGGAAACACACUAGACGGCUCUCCCGCGCGAUUCUCGCAAUGACAAGUCGCAGCAGGAGCUCGAUGAAAAACACAUUCAGCGGCUUUCGACGGCUUCACUAGCGGCCAUUAUCAUAUUUUUAUAGACGGAUGCAAGACGAGUCUAUGGUACAAGGUACAACUGUUUGGACAGUAAGCGGAUUAGAGGGAAGGUAUAUAAAGACAGAAUGGUGGAAAACGGAAGAGGGAUGUUUACCUGAGCGAGAGGGAGAAAGAAGUUGAUCGCAAACGUCUGAAAUAUUGCAUUUCUCGAUAAUUUGGGUAGUAUUCGAGAAUCCGCAGCUACAUGACCGCAGAGUGAUUUUCACGUAUUGGCUCACCGAUAGUACAUUAACUAUUACCUUGCUUCAUGUGCACCGCAUAAACACUAAUACUAUCACAAAACCGUUGCGGCGCAUCAUCUCCAUCGAGCCACCGCAGAGAAUGAGGAACCUUACAACAGUGACUUUAGAACCGGCCGUACCCGCUCCGCCUUGUGUGUUUUAUCUCAUUCACAUUCCAUUAUCGAGGCCCCGCGGCGGUUUGUCAUUGCAAAAUCCGCGCGGGGAAGCCGUCCAGUGUGUUCUUACGCUAACACGCACGCCGACUAGCACGGACGACUUAUUUAGGAAGAAUGCCGUAUGUCGGACCCAAUGGCACUAUAUAAUGAAGACGAUGCUGUGAGCUAACACCCUGAAUUCUUAUGUUGUAACGGAGAACUUGCAGUUCGACAACUGUGCAGCGAAAAAUACAAUUCUGAGUUCGACCACGCGUAGUACAAGGUGUCAAACCCGGAGAACAGCAUCGGAAGAAUGCACCCCGUGCAGGCCCGUGGAUGAUGUAGUAUAGUAGUAAUACAGUCACAGUUGUGGAUCGUUACAGAACCAACGAGGCGGUUAUCCAUAUAUCAAUCCAUAGACGUACCGUUGAACGUGGGAAUUCAACAGAUUUAUUUCAAAAAACUAAUAAAACUUUAAUUAAAGAAACCAUGAGCAGUGUGUCAGUUAAGUUUGAGACAUUGCGUCCUACGUUUCGGUUGAAACCUUUUGAAUAGCUCUGAUAUCGUCGGAAAAAAGUAUUUUUCAUUAUGUUUUAAUUUUUGGGAAAAGUGAAAAGCUGCCAAUUCGGGUGAAUACGGCAUGAUGAUAUACAGCACAAACGAGUUUUCGAGACACAAUUUGACGCACGAGCAGUGACUUGUGACCCGGCACAUUGUCGUGUAGAAAAGUCCAAUUUCAUGGGUCGAAUUCAGCGCAUCCUAGCCAUCAAAUACUUCAACAGCUGACGAAUAAUUUUCAUGUAUGUUUCCCUUAAAAUUCAUUAAAAAAAAUCUUCAGAAUGACAUAGACAGCAUAGACAGGAGUCCAAUGUAUGAUGAAUGAUGAAUUCGAGACAGUAUAAACAUAAUUAUGAAUAGAAAUGAGAUGAUGGCCUUCCCCAACUACAAGAAGGCGACCGAGGGGUUUGUGCGUUGUACCGUGUUAUGACGAAAAUCAGCGGAGUGUUCGUCAUAGCACGACUUCAAUUUAUGUUCUAUUCAUUGAUACAUGAACCGACGCGGGACUUACCGUGUUAAUAAGAAAGAGGCAGCGGCUUCAUCCCGGAACAACAUUCCGUCAACAAUGGGAAAACUUCACAAUGUAACGAUACGCGAUACGGUCGUACAUGUUCUCAUUUUUUAAGGAUUUCGCUUAUGUUCGGAGAACCGAAGCUAAAAUUCAAUUAAUUAACGUUGUCUAAUUUGUAAAUUUGUAAUCUAAAUAAAUGGUCCUGAGUUAACUAG